GACGAACGCUGGCGGCGUGCUUAACACAUGCAAGUCGAACGGAAAGGCCCUGCUUUUGUGGGGUGCUCGAGUGGCGAACGGGUGAGUAACACGUGAGUAACCUGCCCUUGACUUUGGGAUAACUUCAGGAAACUGGGGCUAAUACCGGAUAGGAGCUCCUGCUGCAUGGUGGGGGUUGGAAAGUUUCGGCGGUUGGGGAUGGACUCGCGGCUUAUCAGCUUGUUGGUGGGGUAGUGGCUUACCAAGGCUUUGACGGGUAGCCGGCCUGAGAGGGUGACCGGCCACAUUGGGACUGAGAUACGGCCCAGACUCCUACGGGAGGCAGAGGUGGAGAAUAUUGCACAAUGGGCGGAAGCCUGAUGCGGCAACGCCGCGUGCGGGAUGACGUCCUUCGGGUUGUAAACCGCAUUCGCCUGUGACGAAGCGUGAGUGACGGUAAUGGGUGAAGAAGCACCGGCUAACUACGUG
RNAcentral lists this ribosomal RNA (468 nucleotides) under uncultured bacterium. RNAcentral's name for it is "partial 16S ribosomal RNA". It matches the Rfam family "Bacterial small subunit ribosomal RNA", at positions 28 to 507 of the family's 1533-position model. The record is from RNAcentral.